This 23-nucleotide transfer RNA is filed under the name Salvia brevipes. RNAcentral's name for it is "partial tRNA-His". RNAcentral also lists the same sequence under 3 other names. The record is from RNAcentral. Lineage: Eukaryota; Viridiplantae; Streptophyta; Magnoliopsida; Lamiales; Lamiaceae.
GGCGGAUGUAGCCAAGUGGUCAA